UACGUAGGUGACAAGCGUUGUCCGGAUUUACUGGGCGUAAAGAGCGCGCAGGCGGUCGUUCAAGUCGAGUGUGAAAGCCCCCGGCUCAACUGGGGAGGGUCAUUCGAUACUGAUCGACUCGAAGGCAGGAGAGGGUAGUGGAAUUCCCGGUGUAGUGGUGAAAUGCGUAGAUAUCGGGAGGAACACCAGUGGCGAAGGCGACUACCUGGCCUGUUCUUGACGCUGAGGCGCGAAAGCUAGGGGGAGCAAACGGG
RNAcentral lists this ribosomal RNA (254 nucleotides) under uncultured bacterium. Its description in RNAcentral is "partial 16S ribosomal RNA". It matches the Rfam family "Bacterial small subunit ribosomal RNA", at positions 524 to 776 of the family's 1533-position model. The record is from RNAcentral.